This 69-nucleotide transfer RNA is filed under the name Lepas anatifera. RNAcentral describes it as "tRNA-Gln". Lineage: Eukaryota; Metazoa; Arthropoda; Thecostraca; Lepadidae. The record is from RNAcentral.
UAAUAUCUAGUGUUAAAGGCACAUUUCAUUUUGAUUGAAAAGGGAGUAGAUCGAAUCUGCUGGUAUUAA